AAAUUGGUCUAACACUACUAUUUAAUAAAAAAAAUGUAAAAUGAUUAUUUAUAUUGAAAAUUCAAUGUCUUCUGGAAAAAGGGGCAAAAGCACACAUUUGUAGGACAUUAUCUGACCCUUUCAGAGUCAAAAUUAGCAGAAAAGUCCAGACGGACAUUUUGAGGCUUAGGCCUUAAAGGGUUAAAGAGAACAUUAUAACUUUUUUACGCCACUUUUUGAUUCAUUUUCAGACUUUUACUAACCUGAUGUUCCGGAAACAGACGAACCGACCAGAACCAGGAACAAAAGCGAACUGAGGAUCCACAUCGUCGGGGCUCCAGAUGAGGAGGUUCUUAACGGAACUCACCUGAGGAGUCCCGCUACUCCGUUCUUCAGAGACCGGUCUGACUCAAACUAUCACCAGAAGCAUCUUCCAGAACCAACUUCACACCGAACAUCCUGAAAGACCAACAUUCUGGAACAUUCUUCAGUUUUAGCUGUGAAGAAAGUUUCUAAGAAUUACAGACAUGAAAAAAAGGCAGAAUAAAAAACAGAUUCACAGAUAAACUAGUUUACAAAACGAAAAUAUAAAAUAAUAAUCAAACUACCAAAGACUAAACUCAACAGAUGUUUGAACAUGGACAGAUUUAAAGAUCCACUCUGAUGAAAAUGCUGUUUUUAACAGGUUCCUGCAGAAUUUUAUGACAUGUAAAGAAAAUUAAAAUCUAAAUUGCAUUUCUGAAUAUUUCUUCAUUCAAAUCAUGAAUUAGAACCAGAUUAAUGAAAGAAAAUCUAUAUAAAAACAGCUGAUGUUACUGACGAAUGUAUGAGACUAAACAUAAAAACUGAUGGAAAUGAGUCUUGAUCACAUGUAACACGGUCAUGUGACACGUGUGGAUUAAAUUAACUUAUUUUAACCCAACCCUGACUCCGCCCUGUUUACAUACAAAUAGUCACUUCUUAAAAAACAUCACAUUUGUGACGUAGAAAAGACGGUGGGCGUGGCCACAAGCUUCCUGCUCCGCCCAUUUCAGAUUCCUCCACCUGUAGAUAAACAGAUCCAUGAACGUCUUUGUUUUCCGGGUCUGAGCUGGAAUCUGGAUCAGAACCAGACGGAUGGAUAGAAACAAUAUUUCUGUCAUUUUUGUUGCACCGCUAACGUUAGCUUUGGGCUGUAAGCUAGCUGAAGAGGGUGUCAACAGAUGGAUGAUGGGAAAUGGGUAUGGGCUUACUCCAGGCCAACAGUCCUGUCUACAACUCAGAGGAGAAUUUCUACUGAACUCCUGCCGCUCUGCAGAAACUAUGUCUCAGAAAGGAAGCUGGAAGUGGUGUGAGUGAGAAGAACAGCUCAGAAUACGACCAAGAACAACAAAAACACAGAAUAAUCUCAACAGAUCUCCAUCCUUCAUCUGACUGUGUUUCAGAAACACUCAGUUCUUGAAAGAUUCAUCCUGAUGUGUUAGAAUUCCAUCAUUCCCGUAUAAAAACACAAUUUCUUCUCCCUGCAGGUUUAGUUUUCUCCAUUCUAGAAGGAAAAUCUCAUCGAUGUUUGGAUCUUCACAUCUCAGAAUGAUGUAAUCUCCAGAUUCAGCAGUAAUCCUCAGACCUACAUCAGAAGAUCAGAGGCUGUUCUGAAACAGAAGAACCGACCAGAACGAGGAGAAGAACCGAACCGAGGAGCGCCAUCACAGCCGAGUUUAUUUAGAGCUCCGCCCACCUGAACUCACCUGUGAGAUCACCCAGGUGACUGAUGUAUGGUGCAUGUCAGAUAGUGUGACACUACAAACAAUGCAUUAGGGGAAAUGGUGUCCUGACAGUUAAAAGUUCCAUUUAUUUUCAAUUUUAUGUAUUUUUUGUAACAAUUCACAUUAACUGAACACAGCAGC
Molecule: long non-coding RNA, 1865 nt
Organism: Oryzias melastigma (Indian medaka)
Lineage: Eukaryota; Metazoa; Chordata; Actinopteri; Beloniformes; Adrianichthyidae
Exons: 3
Source: RefSeq, a predicted model, not a curated record